RNAcentral lists this small RNA (132 nucleotides) under Salmonella enterica subsp. enterica serovar Heidelberg. RNAcentral's name for it is "RtT sRNA". It matches the Rfam family "RtT RNA". From Rfam's summary of the family: This family represents a bacterial cis-regulatory element known as RtT RNA. The exact function of RtT is unknown although it is thought that it may be involved in changing the cellular response in relation to amino acid starvation. Lineage: Bacteria; Pseudomonadati; Pseudomonadota; Gammaproteobacteria; Enterobacterales; Enterobacteriaceae. The record is from RNAcentral. RNAcentral also lists the same sequence under 11 other names.
GUCUGCACUUGUCGGGGAAGGGUGAGAACCUUCGAUUAAGGUUCGACUCGAGCGAAAGCGAGAGAACCUUGCCAACGGCAACGGCCCGUAGGGUGAGGAGCGAAGCGACGAAUAAUCCUUCCCCCACCACCA